UCUAAAAUGGCAGAUAAGUGUAUUGGAAUUAAAUCCCAAUUAUAAAGUUAAACCUUUUUUUAGAA
RNAcentral lists this transfer RNA (65 nucleotides) under Curculionidae sp. 2 AH-2016. Its description in RNAcentral is "tRNA-Leu". Lineage: Eukaryota; Metazoa; Arthropoda; Insecta; Coleoptera; Curculionidae. The record is from RNAcentral.